GAUGAAGAACGCAGCGAAAUGCGAUAAGUAGUGUGAAUUGCAGAAUUCAGUGAAUCAUCGAAUCUUUGAACGCACAUUGCGCCCUUUGGUAUUCCAAAGGACAUGCCUGUUCGAGCGUCAUUUGUACCCUCAAGCUUUGCUUGGUGUUGGGCGUCUUGUCUCUAGCUUUGCUGGAGACUCGCCUUAAAGUAAUUGGCAGCCGGCCUACUGGUUUCGGAGCGCAGCACAAGUCGCACUCUCUAUCAGCAAAGGUCUAGCAUCCAUUAAGCCUUUUUUUCAACUUUUGACCUCGGAUCAGGUAGGGAUACCCGCUGAACUUAAGCAUAUCAAUAAGCGGAGGA
RNAcentral lists this unclassified non-coding RNA (341 nucleotides) under soil metagenome. RNAcentral describes it as "partial contains 5.8S ribosomal RNA, internal transcribed spacer 2, and large subunit ribosomal RNA". The stretch from base 1 to 120 matches the Rfam family "5.8S ribosomal RNA", at positions 35 to 154 of the family's 154-position model. The record is from RNAcentral.